UAUGAAUGGCCACACGAGGGCUUUACUGUCUCCUACUUCCAAUCCGUGAAAUUGACCUUCCCGUGAAGAGGCGGGAAUAUAACAACAAGACGAGAAGACCCUAUGGAGCUUUAAUUAAUCGACCCAAAGAGAUCCCACUAACUAACCGACAGGAACAACAAACCUCUAUAUGGGCCGACAAUUUAGGUUGGGGCGACCUCGGAGAAUAAAACAACCUCCGAGUGAUUUAAAUCUAGACUAACCAGUCAAAAGUAUUACAUCACUUAUUGAUCCAAAACUUGAUCAACGGAACAAGUUACCCUAGGGAUAACAGCGCAAUCCUAUUUUAGAGUCCAUAUCGACAAUAGGGUUUACGACCUCGAUG
RNAcentral lists this ribosomal RNA (364 nucleotides) under Leopardus jacobita (Andean mountain cat). RNAcentral describes it as "partial 16S ribosomal RNA". It matches the Rfam family "Bacterial large subunit ribosomal RNA", at positions 1991 to 2531 of the family's 2925-position model. Lineage: Eukaryota; Metazoa; Chordata; Mammalia; Carnivora; Felidae. The record is from RNAcentral.